Molecule: ribosomal RNA, 557 nt
Filed under: uncultured bacterium
Lineage: Bacteria
Description: bacterial SSU rRNA
Rfam family: Bacterial small subunit ribosomal RNA
Source: RNAcentral
GACCCGCACAAGCGGUGGAUGAUGUGGAUUAAUUCGAUGCAACGCGAAAAACCUUACCUACCCUUGACAUGUCUGGAAUGCCGAAGAGAUUUGGCAGUGCUCGCAAGAGAACCGGAACACAGGUGCUGCAUGGCUGUCGUCAGCUCGUGUCGUGAGAUGUUGGGUUAAGUCCCGCAACGAGCGCAACCCUUGUCAUUAGUUGCUACGCAAGAGCACUCUAAUGAGACUGCCGGUGACAAACCGGAGGAAGGUGGGGAUGACGUCAAGUCCUCAUGGCCCUUAUGGGUAGGGCUUCACACGUCAUACAAUGGUCGGGACAGAGGGUCGCCAACCCGCGAGGGGGAGCCAAUCUCAGAAACCCGAUCGUAGUCCGGAUCGCAGUCUGCAACUCGACUGCGUGAAGUCGGAAUCGCUAGUAAUCGCGGAUCGGAAUGUCGCGGUGAAUACGUUCCCGGGUCUUGUACACACCGCCCGUCACACCAUGGGAGUGGGUUUCACCAGAAGUAGGUAGCCUAACCGUAAGGAGGGCGCUUACCACGGUGGGAUUCAUGACUGGG